This 468-nucleotide ribosomal RNA is filed under the name uncultured bacterium. Its description in RNAcentral is "partial 16S ribosomal RNA". It matches the Rfam family "Bacterial small subunit ribosomal RNA", at positions 28 to 507 of the family's 1533-position model. The record is from RNAcentral.
GACGAACGCUGGCGGCGUGCUUAACACAUGCAAGUCGAACGGAAAGGCCCUGCUUUUGUGGGGUGCUCGAGUGGCGAACGGGUGAGUAACACGUGAGUAACCUGCCCCUGACUUUGGGAUAACUUCAGGAAACUGGGGCUAAUACCGGAUAGGAGCUCCUGCUGCAUGGUGGGGGUUGGAAAGUUUCGGCGGUUGGGGAUGGACUCGCGGCUUAUCAGCUUGUUGGUGGGGUAGUGGCUUACCAAGGCUUCGACGGGUAGCCGGCCUGAGAGGGUGACCGGGCACAUUGGGACUGAGAUACGGCCCAGACUCCUACGGGAGGCAGCAGUGGGGAAUAUUGCACAAUGGGCGGGAGCCUGAUGCAGCAACGCCGCGUGCGGGAUGACGGCCUUCGGGUUGUAAACCGCUUUCGCCUGUGACGAAGCGUGAGUGACGGUAAUGAGUAAAGAAGCACCGGCUAACUACGUG